GUUGUUAUGGCCGAGUGGUUAAGGCGAUGGAUUAGCAAUCCAUUGGGUUUUCCCCACGUAGGCUCGAAUCCUGCUGACUAUG
This is a non-coding RNA of Hemiscyllium ocellatum (epaulette shark), 82 nucleotides long. NCBI's taxonomy places the organism in Eukaryota, Metazoa, Chordata, Chondrichthyes, Orectolobiformes, Hemiscylliidae. The record is from the annotation of a RefSeq genome assembly.